AGAGCUCUGACCGGCCGGAACGCUCAUGCACAGAAACCCGAGGGAGGCUACAGCAUAAAUCUGGGAGAAAAAGCCGGAUUGCAUCAGAACACUCUGCUAAAGGCUUCAGAAAAAGAGGGUUUUACUAAGAACUCCUCUGCAUGACAAACCAACAGAGUUAAAACUUUUCAGCUACAAAAUGAAGACCAUAAUGCAGGGCCUCAAGGAACAGCAGAAAGGAAAUCAGCAGGACCAGCACGUCCACGAGCCCAACAAACAUCCAUUCCUACCUCCUGGGAGGGAGUUUACUCUAGCAGCAGGAGGGGUCAGCCAAGCACUAGUUCAUCAUUUAGCAGCAAGGCAUUCCCUGGGAAAUAUUUCACUCUCUUA
Long non-coding RNA from Mauremys mutica (yellowpond turtle), 369 nucleotides. RefSeq lists it as uncharacterized. The transcript has 3 exons. Lineage: Eukaryota; Metazoa; Chordata; Testudines; Geoemydidae. The record is from RefSeq and is a predicted model, not a curated record.